GAGCGAACAGGGAAGAGCCCAGCACCGAAUCUCCCGGCCAGAGGGUCGGCGAGAAAUGUGGUGUUAGGGAGCGGCCGUUCCCGGUGCGCGCUGGCUCGUUCCAAGUCCUCUUGAAAGGGGCCACGGCCCGUAGAGGGUGCCAGGCCCGUAGUGGACGACGUGCGCGCUCGGGGGGCUUGUCUCCUCAGAGUCGGGUUGCUUGAGAUCGCAGCCCUAAGCAGGUGGUAAACUCCAUCUAAGGCUAAAUACAACCACGAGACCGAUAGCGAACAAGUACCGUGAGGGAAAGUUGAAAAGAACUUUGAAGAGAGAGUUCAAGAGUACGUGAAACCGCCCAAGGGGAAACGGAAGGUAAUUGAGCAAACUAGGCCGGGGAAACUCAUCACCGCUCGCUGGCACGCUCGAGCUACCCGACCGCUGCGCGGCCGCGGACGGCUUUGCCGUCUCGUCGGCUUCCCGCAGAGCCCGGUCGGGCGGAUCCUGCUCUGAGCGGGGGAAACGGAACCCCCGCGAGUCUGCUUGAGGGCGGUGUGCACUUUUCCUUCGCCAUAGUGCGUCGCGAUCCGUUGGUCGGCGGCCUAAGGCCCGGGGUUAUUAUCGGUGCUGCGGCGCGGGUUCGCCCGCGUCGCGGUGCCGAGUCCCCGGUGUGCGUGCGGCGGGCGGCUUCACAGCGCCCGCCUUCGCUUUCCCGGCCGCCGUGUAAGCCCGCCCCGUAGCGGGGCGGCAGUUACGACGGUUAUGAAAUACGUGGAAGACGUCUCGACCGUCACCUACCCCGUCGCAAGGCGGGCGAGGGGGCGGCGGGCCUCUCCGGACCUUGGCUUUUGCCCUUCACAAGCGCGGAACGCGGUGGUUAGCUAGCGCGCGGCGGGCGGCCCGAAGGGGUUUCGUCCUCGCGCGUAUCCCAUCGAUACGUUCGCGCGGUGACAGGAGAGGGGGGCUUGAGUGCUGCACUCGCCUCGGAUCAACCGGCGGCGUAAGUCUCGGUCUACUUUCCGACCCGUCUUGAAACACGGACCAAGGAGUCUAACAUGUGCGCGAGUCAAUGGGACCUUCUAAACCCAAAGGCGUAAUGAAAGUGAAGCUGGGCGGCGCGGUUGACCACCGCGGCCGCCCCGGUGAGGGAGGAUGGCACGGGGCGCGCGCCCUCGCGGGCGCGUCGCUUACUCCGGCCCGCACUCCCGGGGCGUCGUUGACGGCGCACCUAGAGCGCACACGUUGGUACCCGAAAGAUGGUGAACUAUGCCUGGCCAGGACGAAGCCAGGGGAAACCCUGGUGGAGGUCCGUAGCGAUUCUGACGUGCAAAUCGAUCGUCUGAGCUGGGUAUAGGGGCGAAAGACUAAUCGAACCAUCUAGUAGCUGGUUCCCUCCGAAGUUUCCCUCAGGAUAGCUGGCACUCGGAGGCAAGAAAGAAAUGAACAACCGAAUCUCAUUCGGUAAAGCGAAUGAUUAGAGGCCUUAGGGUCGAAACGGCCUUAACCUAUUCUCAAACUUUAAAUGGGUGAGAACGCCGGCAUCCUCAAAGAACUUUAAUGGGCGUGAUGCCGGCGAAAGGAUCGUGAGUGUCCAGUGGGCCAUUUUUGGUAAGCAGAACUGGCGCUGUGGGAUGAACCAAACGUAGAGUUAAGGCGCCUAAACCGACGCUUAUGGGAUACCAUGAAGGGCGUUGUUUGCUUAAGACAGCUGGGCGGUGGCCAUGGAAGUCGGAAUCCGCUAAGGAGUGUGUAACAACUCACCAGCCGAAGCAACUAGCCCUGAAAAUGGAUGGCGCUAAAGCGUCGUGCCUAUACUUUACCGCCGGGGCAAGGCUAGGGUGCCCGCACGUCCCGCGUCGGGGGCGUCGCGUUCGUCUAACCAACGGGCGCGGCGCAGGAGCCCUGUUAAGCCCCGGUGAGUAGGAGGGUCGCGACGGUGAGCGCAGAAGGGUUGGGCGCGAGCCUGCCUGGAGCCGCCKUCGGCGCAGAUCUUGGUAGUAGUAGCAAAUACUCUAGCGAGACCCUGGAGGGCUGAUGUGGAGAAGGGUUUCGUGUGAACAGCCGUUGCACACGAGUCAGUCGAUCCUAAGCCCUAGGGGAAACCCGAUGCAGAUGCCGGCCUUUAUCUAUGUCAAGUGUCCGAAAAGCACUGGCCGCGCGUCGGGCGAAAGGGAAUCCGGUCCCCAUUCCGGAACCCGGUCGCGGAACCGUUUCACGUCGGGCCCGCGCCGAAAGGCGCAUGCUCGUCGGGGUAACCCAACAUGACCCGGAGAAGCCGUCGGGAGGUCUGGGAAGAGUUUUCUUUUCUGUUUGAGCGUUCGGGUUCCCUGGAAUUGCCUAGCGCAGAGAGAGGGAAUGGAGCGCGUAGA
Molecule: ribosomal RNA, 2345 nt
Filed under: Acheta domesticus (house cricket)
Lineage: Eukaryota; Metazoa; Arthropoda; Insecta; Orthoptera; Gryllidae
Description: eukaryotic LSU rRNA
Rfam family: Eukaryotic large subunit ribosomal RNA
Source: RNAcentral